Myotis lucifugus (little brown bat) is the source of this 149-nucleotide small nucleolar RNA. Ensembl annotates it as small nucleolar RNA SNORA12. Lineage: Eukaryota; Metazoa; Chordata; Mammalia; Chiroptera; Vespertilionidae. The record is from Ensembl.
UCAUGUGGUGGUUUUCUUCCUGGCACAUUUGUUAAGUUUUCAAAUGGGCCUGACUCUGCCACAUAUAUUAUAUAGAAGCUGGGAAAGGCUUGAUGACAAAGAGAUCUCCCUCUCUGGCCUUUCUGCAUCAGAGAUUGGCUCCCACAUGU